This 818-nucleotide ribosomal RNA is filed under the name uncultured bacterium. RNAcentral's name for it is "bacterial SSU rRNA". It matches the Rfam family "Bacterial small subunit ribosomal RNA", at positions 66 to 866 of the family's 1533-position model. The record is from RNAcentral.
GGGGCAUCGGGGAGCGAAGCUUGCUUUGCUCCGCCGGCGACCGGCGCACGGGUGAGUAACGCGUAUGCAACCUGCCCGUUUCAGCGGGAUAACCCGGAGAAAUCCGGCCUAAUACCGCAUGUGGCCGAGGGAAGGCAUCUUCUUUCGGCCAAAGGAGGCGACUCCGGAGACGGAUGGGCAUGCGUGACAUUAGCUUGUUGGCGGGGUAACGGCCCACCAAGGCGACGAUGUCUAGGGGUUCUGAGAGGAAGGUCCCCCACACUGGUACUGAGACACGGACCAGACUCCUACGGGAGGCAGCAGUGAGGAAUAUUGGUCAAUGGGCGAGAGCCUGAACCAGCCAAGUCGCGUGAAGGAUGACGGCCCUACGGGUUGUAAACUUCUUUUGUCAGGGAGCAAUUGGGUCCACGCGUGGGCUUAGCGAGAGUACCUGGAGAAAAAGCAUCGGCUAACUCCGUGCCAGCAGCCGCGGUAAUACGGAGGAUGCGAGCGUUAUCCGGAUUUAUUGGGUUUAAAGGGUGCGUAGGCGGAAUAUCAAGUCAGCGGUAAAAAUUCGGGGCUCAACCCCGUCGUGCCGUUGAAACUGAUGUUCUUGAGUGGGCGAGAAGUAUGCGGAAUGCGUGGUGUAGUGGUGAAAUGCAUAGAUAUCACGCAGAACUCCGAUUGCGAAGGCAGCAUACCGGCGCCCAACUGACGCUGAAGCACGAAAGCGUGGGUAUCGAACAGGAUUAGAUACCCUGGUAGUCCACGCAGUAAACGAUGAAUGCUAAUUGUCCGGAGGGAUUGACCUCUGGGUGAUACAGCGAAAGCGUUAAGCA